CCUACGGGGGGCAGCAGUGGGGAAUAUUGGACAAUGGGGGCAACCCUGAUCCAGCCAUGCCGCGUGUGUGAAGAAGGCCCUCGGGUUGUAAAGCACUUUCAGUGAGGAAGAACGCCUGGUGGUUAAUACCCAUCAGGAAAGACAUCACUCACAGAAGAAGCACCGGCUAACUCCGUGCCAGCAGCCGCGGUAAUACGGAGGGUGCGAGCGUUAAUCGGAAUUACUGGGCGUAAAGCGCGCGUAGGUGGCUUGAUAAGCCGGUUGUGAAAGCCCCGGGCUCAACCUGGGAACGGCAUCCGGAACUGUCAAGCUAGAGUGCAGGAGAGGAAGGUAGAAUUCCCGGUGUAGCGGUGAAAUGCGUAGAGAUCGGGAGGAAUACCAGUGGCGAAGGCGGCCUUCUGGACUGACACUGACACUGAGGUGCGAAAGCGUGGGUAGCAAACAGGAUUAGCUACCCGAGUAGUC
This 465-nucleotide ribosomal RNA is filed under the name Vreelandella stevensii. Its description in RNAcentral is "partial 16S ribosomal RNA". It matches the Rfam family "Bacterial small subunit ribosomal RNA", at positions 338 to 795 of the family's 1533-position model. The record is from RNAcentral. Lineage: Bacteria; Pseudomonadati; Pseudomonadota; Gammaproteobacteria; Oceanospirillales; Halomonadaceae.